AGUGGACGCUGGCGGUAGGCCUAACACAUGCAAGUCGAACGGCAGCACAGUAAGAGCUUGCUCUUACGGGUGGCGAGUGGCGGACGGGUGAGGAAUACAUCGGAAUCUACUUUUUCGUGGGGGAUAACGUAGGGAAACUUACGCUAAUACCGCAUACGACCUACGGGUGAAAGCAGGGGAUCUUCGGACCUUGCGCGAUUGAAUGAGCCGAUGUCGGAUUAGCUAGUUGGCGGGGUAAAGGCCCACCAAGGCGACGAUCCGUAGCUGGUCUGAGAGGAUGAUCAGCCACACUGGAACUGAGACACGGUCCAGACUCCUACGGGAGGCAGCAGUGGGGAAUAUUGGACAAUGGGCGCAAGCCUGAUCCAGCCAUACCGCGUGGGUGAAGAAGGCCUUCGGGAUGUAAAGCCCUUUUGUUGGGAAAGAAAAGCAGCAGGUUAAUACCCCGCUGUUCUGACGGUACCCAAAGAAUAAGCACCGGCUAACUUCGUG
This 492-nucleotide ribosomal RNA is filed under the name uncultured bacterium. Its description in RNAcentral is "partial 16S ribosomal RNA". It matches the Rfam family "Bacterial small subunit ribosomal RNA", at positions 29 to 507 of the family's 1533-position model. The record is from RNAcentral.